Marmota monax (woodchuck) is the source of this 8195-nucleotide RNA transcript. It is a transcript of the gene named short transmembrane mitochondrial protein 1, with no coding region annotated. The record is from RefSeq and is a predicted model, not a curated record. NCBI's taxonomy places the organism in Eukaryota, Metazoa, Chordata, Mammalia, Rodentia, Sciuridae. The transcript is spliced from 5 exons.
UGGCGUGGCCCGGAAGCAGACGGUGGUUUCCGCCCUCGCUCCCGGGCAGGCAGGCUCCGACCGGCCAGUGGAGCUGUAGCCGGGUUUCUGUCCCUCCUUGUGUUCUCGGCCGACAGCAUGCUCCAGUUCCUGCUUGGAUUUACUUUUGGCAACGUGGUUGGAAUGUAUCUGGCUCAGAACUAUGAUAUACCAAACUUGGCUAAAAAACUUGAAGAGAUUAAAAAGGAUUUGGAAGCCAAGAAGAAACCCCCUAGUUCCUGAUGCCCACUCCAGCCCUACGUUCUGGAUACUCUGAUUCUGCCGCCCCUGAGGGGCCUCCUGUACCAUCUGAUCCCAAAGCUUUUGUUUUCAUCUUUUCAUCUCCAGCCACAGCAGUUUUCUUCUUUGAUAGAUCCAGUGUUGCCUCAGAGCAAAAGUGGGGCCAUAAGUUAAGAACUACCCUUUAUGUGUCCAACAGCCUUGCCUCUUCCCCCGCCUUUCCUUCCAGCUGACUGGAAUUAUGGUGCUAGUUUAGCAAAGUCGCUUCUCCCCUGUUGUUUGGGAUUUCUACUACCUUUUGUCGAAAGAAAAAUUAGUGAGUUUUUUGUAUAGCUGAUCAGAUACAAAUAAUGCUAAUUUCAUAGUUUUGCAGUUAUAAUGGGUGCUUGUUAAACUAAUUUGUUAUUAAAUUUUGUUGUUUCAAAGUAAUUAAAAUUAAUAUCUAGAAUCCAGUUUCUGUUGAAUUAUCCACUUAUUUUUACUGUUGUCAGGCAGCUCCAUAGUUGAUAAUUCAACUAAUAAAUCAGUUUGCUAUUCAUGAACUGAGACACUCUAUUCUAAGAAUCUUAUCAGUAACUGGGGAAUUAAAAAAUAUGAAAAACAAUGAUUUUUGUUCUAAUGACAUUCACAGUCUAUUUAGCAUGCAUGUUUUUCGUUAAUGAUGUAUUUGAUCUGACUCUUUUUCUUCAAAAGAAUCAUUCUUGGGAUUACAGGUACAUUUGACAUUUUAUCAUGGGUAAGUGUCAAAUUGUUGAUAAAGGAAAUGUUAAGACUUUUUACAUUAAAAGAUAUAUUUACAUUAUAACUUCAUAGUGCUUCUCCUAAGAAAAAUGUAGUUCCACGUAUAAUUUUUUUUUUUUUUUUUAAUUGAAGUCUUGUUGCCUAGGCUAGUCUUGAACUCCAGGGCUCAAGCAAUCUCCCCACCUCAGCCCCCUGAAUGCUGGGAUAACAGGUACAUCAAUAUGCUGGCCAGUCUUUUUUUUUUUUAUUUAUUUAAUUUUUUUUCUAGUACUAGAGAUCAAACACAGGACUUCACACAUGCAGGGCCAACACACUACAAGUACAUCUCCAGCCCUUUUUUAUUCUUUCUUUUCUUUUCUUUUUUUUUUUUUUUUUGUGAUACUGAAGAUUGAACCCAGAAGCACUUUCCACUGAGCUAUAUCCCAGCCCUUUUAAUUUAAGACAGAUCUUGCUAAAUAGCUGAGGCCAACCUUUAACUUAUGAGCCUCCUGUUUCAACCUUCUAAAUCACUAGGAAUACAGAUAUGCAUCACCAUGUUCAGCUUUUAUUUUGAGACAGGGUCUUGCUAAUUUGCCCAGGCUGGUCUUGAAUUUGUGAUCCUCCUGCCUCAACUUCUCAAGUAGCUGGGAUUAUAGGUGCCCCAUUACUAGUUUGAAUUUUUUUAAUUAAAAAUAUUUUAGUAGGUAACUCUUCCAAUGAGUGAAGAUACAGAAGUGAUUUCAUGUAAAUACAGGACCUGUCUCAUCCCUAUCCUCUUUAUUUUUAGCUCUUCUUCCUUGGGCAGUCACUGUUACACAUUCCCAGUUUACUUUUGAGGAAGAGUCUGUUCCUAAACAUGUCUAUAUGCAAAUGGUAACAAACUAUACAUAAUUGUUUUUCUUAAUGGAGCUCAUUCUGUAUCAGCAUUUAAGGAACAAGAAGCCUUACUUCUUUUUUGGCUGUAUACAGUUCUAUUGAAUGGAUGAACCAUAAUUAAUCUGUUACUAAAGAUUGUUUAAAUUGUUCUUUUCUAUUACAUUGAUAACAUAAAACCUAAUGUUAUUAUGUAUACCUCUGCAGGAUAUAGCUGUAAGAUAUAAGUCCUAAAACUAUAUUUACACUUAUAGAGGUAAAUAUCCAUUUCAUUUUUUGUUUCAGAGGGCUUGUUGGGUAGCUUUGUCAGUAAUACCUUUCUGAAGGCAUUUUAGCAGAAUCAAAACACUGGAAGGAUUACUUAGAGACAACUUUUUUUAGUGAUGACAUCAACCCUAUAUGUGAUUCCAAAAUAAAGUGAUUCUGAUUUUCUUUGAAAACAUACAUGAUGAUAAAUUUUAUCCCUGUAAAGAUCAUCCUCCAGUGAGACAGAUUAGGAUCAAAUUAUGGUUUGGCUUCUCCCUUGCAGUGGGAAGUGGGCAAAUGGCUUAUUCUUUCUGAAACUCUGCAUUAAUCUGUAAGAUUUGGAUGUAAUACCUACCUCAUAGGAUUUUCAUGAGAAAUAAAUAAUGUAUAUGGUGUGCUUUGCAAAUUGUCCAAUAAAUAGUAGAUAUUAGUCCAAAUAUGUUGCUUUUGGUCAGGAUAUUUUUGUAUUUCUGCAAUCACUUUUGGAACCAGUGCAUGAACAUGCAGAAUGUGGUGUUAUUCUGUGGUGUUAGAUAUUGAUGAAAGUUCACAGUAUCCACCCUAAUCAUAUUGCCUCACUCACAAUUUGAUCUUGAAUAAUCAGAAUUAACUACAGCCUUGAAGAAUGAAGGUCCACUAUUAUGAAAUAGAAAACUUCAGGAUUGAUAUUGGAAACUUAAUAAGUACAUUAAACUUGAAAGAUUUAGAUUUAGGCAGCAAAAUAAAACCAAAUUAAUCAUUUAAAAUUGUCAAAAAAGGGCAGAAUUCUAUGAGUUGAGCUUACUACUUGACAUCUGUAGGCUUUUCUUAUUUGGUAUUUUACAGAAUUAAGCAGUUAUCUGCUCAGUUAAAGGAGCAAUGUUAUUUUUCUAAUUCAGUUUUCAUCUGUAUAACUACAGAGAAGCUGUGUGGCUUUCCUAGUUGUCUGGACAUAUUAGUUCGUAUGUAUAUGUGUAAUGUUUUCAUUUCCACUGAGCAGUUCACGCCCUAGAUACUGUAAUGGUGUUUGUUUUUCUGCUGAGGUCUCCCACAUUUAAGUGCUUUUUCUGAGCUAUUCCUCUUGAAGGAACACUGUAUACUAUACUGGAGCAAAUGAGACUUCUGAAACUUCCAGUCUGGGUUUUGCACGUAGCAUUGCCAUUCCUUAUGCAGAUGAAUGGAUUCUUUUUCUCCACUUUAGGGCGUUGCCUUAUGGAAAGAAACAGGGCAGUGAAAGGAAAAUAUUUUGAGGCUUGCCUAUAGGGAGUAUGUGACACUUAAAAUUUUAAAUGUUCAGCUUAUACUUUUCCUAAAUUUGGUUGCAACAUUCAGUUAGGUACAAAAGUCCUAAUGGGUGGGUGGCUUGUUGUACAAGGCACUGGAUAAGAAAAAAGAACUGAGAAAAGGGAGAUUUUGUGGAAAGUGCCCACCCAGGGUGGAGUGUUGCAAAACCUGGGUCCUGGGCCUGUAGAAUCACUGCCUCAGUGAUAGGACUGUGUGAAAGUGGAGUCACACUGUCAUACAUGUACAGUUGUUCAGAACUGGGACAAAAGAAAGGUGCCAUGUAAACAGUUGAGAUGUGCUCAGCAUUCCUUCAGUGAGGGCAGCCCCAGGGUAAGCUACCAGUGUACUCAGGGUCUUGGUUCCCUUUGUCUUCUAAUGGUUUAAGCAUCUUGGCAAUAUGGUGGGAUGUUCUUAGAAAUAUUUUUUCAAACAAUGUAGUCCCCACAUGCAAAUGGCCAACUAUAUUCAUUUGGUAUACACAGGGGAUUUGUUCUAGCCCCCCUCCUCACUGCCAUGGACACCAAAAUUUGCAGAUGCUCAAGUUCCUUAUAUGCAACGGUAUAAUAUCCUCAUAUAACCCAUAACAUCCUCCUGUGUUCUUGAGAUUACUUAUAACAAUACAAUGUAAAUGCUAUGUAAAUAAUGACAGGGAACAAAGUCUAUAUGCUCAGUACUGAUGCAAUUUUUAAAAAAUAUUUUCAGUCCAGUAUGAUUGAAGCUACUAAGGCAAAACCUGUGGAUACAGAGGACAGCUAUACUUCAUUUGAUGUUCAGCUAAAGAAAUAGGGAUCUAUUCUGACAUUGAAGGGAAAAGUAGCAAUUUUUAAAAAUUGAAACAUGGUGGCAUAUGAGUCUUUGUGACAUGUAAAUGCCAGUGUAAGACUGUAUACCAUGUACUUUGGUGACUUAAAGGAAUUUUAAAGGCAACCUUGACUGAGCAAAUUUAAUAUGUAAUUGACUUGAGAAUAAGAUGCAACUAAGUGGCUCUCACUCUCAGUUUCAUAAUCAGGAAAAUUACCUGGUAUGAGAUGAUCAUCUAAAGCUUUUUCAUCCAUGUACAUUAAAAGAUAAAAAUCAAAUAAUAUGAAGAGACAAGACUACUGAGAAGGGCUAGAAGUUAUCCAACAGUGGGAGGACAAGGAGUUUUUUUGUUUCUGUUUUUGUUUUGGUACUGGAGAUUGAACCCAGGGGUGCUUAACCACUGAGCCACAUUCCCAGCCCUUAAAAUUUAUUUAGAGACAGGGUCUCUAUAAGUUGCUUAGGGUCUCAGUAAGUUGCUGAGGCUGACUUUGAACUCAGUCCUUCUGCCUUAGCCUUCUGAGUCACUGGGAUUACAGUCAUGAAUCACUGCACCUUAAUAAUUAAUAACUCCUAGGCAUUAUUAAUUAUAUCUUCCAUUUCCUGUCACUGGAAUGGGCAAUCUCAUUUGACUUGAAUCUGGAUUUAGGAAAAAAUGGUACCGUUCUUAAGAGCAGCCAGUAGAACAGAUUGAAACAAAUGAGAUUUCUAAACCAGCGGGUUGAAUACACCUGCUAAUGGAGCAUUGGCUGCAGCUGCAGUGGGAAAUUGGUGCCGCUUCCCCUUUAGCAGUGACUCAGGGUCCCAAGUAGCUGAACAGUGCUGAACAGUGGCCAGUAAUCCACUUAAGUUCUAAGUCAACUUAUUCUCUUUAUACUUACACUCCUGGAAUCUUACUGAUUUUCUGUACCUUUGUCUUGUUUUCUGACUUGGCGUAGGGUCUGUGUAGGGUUGAGAAAUAUGAUGAUUUGGCUGCCUUGACAAUAGUAACAACACCUGACCUUUGAAGCAGAUUGAUUGGAGGGAUGCUGACUUGAUCAAACCAGUUGUAGCAUACCUAACAAUGGGCAUUUCAUUUGAUCCCUGAGAUCUUUACUAUUAAAAUUGGCCAGAUAUCGACUAAGCUAAUAAGCAGGACAAAAGCAGUAGCAUUCCCAGUUAGACAUGGCCAAUCACAUUUUGUAUCCACAGGGGAUUUGUUCUAGCCCCUCUGUGGUUGGAGUGUGUUAACUGGCACAAAAAACAAAAACAAACAAACAAAAAAAACCCAAAAACAAAAACAAAACAACUUUAUAACUCAGACACUUGAUAAACUAAAGGAGUGAUUUUAUAGAUAAAUUAUUGUGGGAAAACUUCACAUGAUAUUGACAGUAUCUUAAAAUUAGUUACUACAGUGCAAAACUAUGGGGGACUAUUUUUUCCUUAAGAUGUAUUAAGUAAGCAACUGAUUGUUGAAAUUGGAAAUACUUAAUGACAACAAACUUGGAGGGAUAGAGAGCUAUAUCCAGCCAUGCAACAAGGACAUCUCAUGAAAAAAAUUGCUUGAUCUACAGGAGGAAUAAGGCCUUGCCUUGCAGAGUGAUUCUUAUUGGGAGCAUUUAUUGAGCAGGUACAGCUUACUACAUCGUAGAAGUUGCCAGGGGAAUUCAAGAGAUGCAGGAAUGAACUACUCAUUAAAUCCAGAAGCAAGCCAGCAUGAUACCAAUAAAAGUGAUGUGGUCUUAAUUAUAGUUUUGAUCUCCCUAACAAGACAGAAUUUGGUGUCAAAGGGGAGCCAUUGGAAAGAUGGAGAGAUGGAGCCAUUUUUUAAAACUGAAUCAAGAUAGUAAUAAAAGAGGCUUUUUUUGUGAAGAGAACUUAGGAUAGAAAACUUGAGAUGGCUCAAGUUCUGGGUAAGGUUCCCUCAAAAUAGAGUCGCUCUUUUCACCAUCUGCAUAGGUAGAACGAUGUGCAUAUCUCCUUCAACUCCUAAGGAGCCACUACAAAUAACAAAACCUAGUGAGGCCAGUCAGUUUGAGAGGCUUCGCCCUUCAGGGGCAAUUAAGACAGGCUUUCUUUUUUUCCUGUCUUAGGAAGAGUAGAUAGGAAAGACUGGACCCAAGGAAGACAGAUCAGUUUUUAGUUUCUUGAGCUGUGAUGCUAAGGCAGGUAGGCAGCCAGGAAAGAAGACAUCAACCGCCCAGCCCAUGCCUGUGGUGAUUGCAGGGUCCCUGCACUUCAAGGUUUAGGUGGCAGGAUCUUCUGGCACCGCUGCCUUCAGUGUGUUUCUGGGGCAUGCUCCUGGUAAUUUUCUUUGCCUGUGGUUCAGAUUGUGCUCAGCGCAACUCCUUCAACUGAGCCAGGUUGUCCACUUGUGUUAGGCCUGAUUGGUGAUGUUAUUGACCUUCGCCCAGGCUGGAAAAGUGUCCAGGUGGAAGAGGCUAACGCCCCAGGUGUUGAUGGCCACCAUCACUAUCACCAGGCCAAUGACAUUGACUCCCAGGCCAGCUUUCACCUGCAGGACACAAGCCAGCACAGAUCCCUAAGUGAGCGCUUCCUGGGCUCCCAGCUAAGCCUUGGUCCACCCAGGUGGCCCUGAUUGUUCACUGACUGCCUGGGAUGCUCAAGUGUUGCAUUAUGGGGUGGCACAGGACCGUGGAAGGACCAGAAAAAUAGGAGGGAUUAGGGCUGGAUGAGGACAAUUAGAAUCAUCUCCACUUCUUGCCUGUAGUCUUCCCUCUAGGAAGUGGAAUCCCAGGAAGUCUGUUAGUUAUUUAGGAUGUUGAGAGUUAUUUUUGCAGUGAAAUGUGUUAACAAAAUUAAACAGCUCUUUAAAGCAGGAACUUCUCAGAGCCUUAUGUGCUCAUACACACAAGGAACUUGCAGGGGUUAUAUUAUAUGAAGGCUUUGCCACUGUUACCUUUUUCCCUCGAGGAAACAACUUAGGGAAGUAAAGUGUCUUGGGUCACCUGGGGCAGCAAGUCAGCUGCCUCUGCUCAGCCCUUUACUAACAGCAUCAGGGCCUUUGCUUCUUCCCCUGGGAAUUUUACCUUACUGAGUCCAACCUGUAUCAUUUCUGAACUGUCAUUGACACUGACAAGCUGAAGGGUGAUGUGAGGGAUGAUGGGCGGCUAAGCCAGGGCCAGCUGGAAAAAUGUGUACCGUGAGGACAGCCGGCAUCCUUCCAGGGGGUAGCCAGGCACACAGCUUGUAGCUGAAACAGGUCCCCUAGCUGCCAGCAAGUUGGGGAAAUUAAAGGGAAAAAACAGAUGCUAGGAAAUUAUACCAAACAAAUAAGUAGACAUGACCUCUGUACUGCCCUCUGGCUGGAGCCAUGGACCCCUCAAUCAGGCUGGCUCCCUGGGUCUUUUGGCAUGGAGAACAGCCUGUGCUUCUCAACAUGUUCUGAGGAGCUAAAUUAAGGUCCUUUAGAGCUGAAAGGGACCACAGGGAGAAUCUAGUUGGAACCUCCUUAGUUAGCAGAUGAGGAAAUUAAAGCCUGGAAUUAACCCCGCUGGUACUAGAACCCAGGACUGGCUUGCUUCUUGUCAUUCAGUGCCUUUGACAAGGACUGUCUGUGAUCACUGGAUUCCAGUGUAAAUGGCUAGAGGUGAGCAGUGGGGGCACACAACAGAGGAAGCAGAGGCAGAAGAGCUGGGCAGAGUUAUGUGAGAAGACUGGGGAGCAGGAAUGAGGGACAGCGGUGACUUCCUGUCCUUGAAAUAGCACAGAUGAUAUAGAUAAGCAACUUGAAUCUGCUUCCAGCCUGAAACACUUUCUUCUUUCUCUUCAUUUGAUAUUUUACAGGUCUGCUGAGAACAAGUUUCAACAGUGAAAAAUUUCUUUUUCACCUCAGGGUGACUGGCCUCUCUGUAUCCGAUGGUCAGGCCUCAGUCAUUUCUAUCAGUUUGUUUAUCCUUUCCCCAACCCCCAUCAGCUGGAUAUUAAGAACAGCAGUGAGUAUUGGUUGAGGAGUGGUUGAGUCAGUGGCAAAAUGGCUCCUCAAAGUCAUUUUUUGUGAGCCCAACUGACAAUUAGAAAUAAAAAGUGGUGCCUUA